Molecule: transfer RNA, 62 nt
Filed under: Mesobuthus eupeus (lesser Asian scorpion)
Lineage: Eukaryota; Metazoa; Arthropoda; Arachnida; Scorpiones; Buthidae
Description: tRNA-Ile
Source: RNAcentral
AGUAAGGUGCCUGAGUGAAAGGGUAACUUUGAUGUGGUUAUAUAUGAGAAGAUCUCUUACUG